Long non-coding RNA from Schistocerca americana (American grasshopper), 396 nucleotides. RefSeq lists it as uncharacterized. Lineage: Eukaryota; Metazoa; Arthropoda; Insecta; Orthoptera; Acrididae. The record is from RefSeq and is a predicted model, not a curated record. The transcript is spliced from 3 exons.
GUUACAUGCCAGGAAUGCUGGCCAAGCCGGAGGCAUUGCUGGAAGCUGAAAAACAACAACAGCUGCAACAUGUUGUGGAACAGCCUCCAUCUGUGAAUUCUCCACUGCAUUAGUCACGGCAGCUCGGGUUCUGAGAUGUCAACAUUACCUACGAACCAAAGUUAGUCAGGGGUUGAGCUGUCCCUACCUUAAUGGGCCGAUGCAGUGCCUGAGGAGUUGGAGGUAACGAUUAGCUCCUGGCACCAGAACGAUGACAUUACCUGCGCUUCUGACUCAGCCAGUCAACCAGCAGUAUCUGGCGACGGGCUGCCUCCACGUGACGCGCAAGUGGGUGCGACAUGAAUUCCCUGUGGAAAAGCCCGCUGUACCCACCGGUGACCAGCUGACCUACCACCG